GAUGAACGCUGGCGGCGUGCCUAAUACAUGCGAGUCGAGCGAACAGACGAGGAGCUUGCUCCUCUGACGUUAGCGGCGGACGGGUGAGUAACACGUGGAUAACCUACCUAUAAGACUGGGAUAACUUCGGGAAACCGGAGCUAAUACCGGAUAAUAUAUUGAACCGCAGGGUUCAAUAGUGAAAGACGGUUUUGCUGUCACUUAUAGAUGGAUCCGCGCCGCAUUAGCUAGUUGGUAAGGUAACGGCUUACCAAGGCAACGAUGCGUAGCCGACCUGAGAGGGUGAUCGGCCACACUGGAACUGAGACACGGUCCAGACUCCUACGGGAGGCAGCAGUAGGGAAUCUUCCGCAAUGGGCGAAAGCCUGACGGAGCAACGCCGCGUGAGUGAUGAAGGUCUUCGGAUCGUAAAACUCUGUUAUUAGGGAAGAACAAAUGUGUAAGUAACUAUGCACGUCUUGACGGUACCUGAUCAGAAAGCCACGGCUAACUACGUG
Molecule: ribosomal RNA, 497 nt
Filed under: uncultured bacterium
Lineage: Bacteria
Description: partial 16S ribosomal RNA
Rfam family: Bacterial small subunit ribosomal RNA
Source: RNAcentral